CAGCAGUAGCCGCGGUAACACGUAGGUGGCAAGCGUUGUCCGGAAUUAUUGGGCGUAAAGGGCUCGCAGGCGGUUUCUUAAGUCUGAUGUGAAGGCCCCCGGCUCAACCCGGGAGGGUCAUUGGAAACUGGGAAACUUGAGUGCAGAAGAGGAGAGUGGAAUUCCACGUGUAGCGGUGAAAUGCGUAGAGAUGUGGAGGAACACCAGUGGCGAAGGCGACUCUCUGGUCUGUAACUGACGCUGAGGAGCGAAAGCGUGGGGAGCGAACAGGAUUAGAUACCCCUGUAGUCCCUGUCUCUUAUAC
This 304-nucleotide ribosomal RNA is filed under the name uncultured bacterium. RNAcentral's name for it is "partial 16S ribosomal RNA". It matches the Rfam family "Bacterial small subunit ribosomal RNA", at positions 506 to 807 of the family's 1533-position model. The record is from RNAcentral.